Molecule: ribosomal RNA, 822 nt
Filed under: uncultured bacterium
Lineage: Bacteria
Description: bacterial SSU rRNA
Rfam family: Bacterial small subunit ribosomal RNA
Source: RNAcentral
AGAGUUUGAUCAUGGCUCAGAGCGAACGNNGGCAGGCCUAACACAUGCAAGUCGAGCGCCCCUCCUUCAGAGGACAGUGGUCAGUAAUCAGUAAUCAGAAUUAGUAGUCUGAUUACUGAUUACUGAGCCCUGAUUACUGUCUUCUGAUGGAGGGGAGCGGCAGACGGGAGAGUAACACGUGGGAACGUACCCUUUGGUUCGGAACAACCCAGGGAAACUUGGGCUAAUACCGAAUAAGCCCUUACGGGGAAAGAUUUAUCGCCGAAGGAUCGGCCCGCGUCUGAUUAGCUAGUUGGUGGGGUAAUGGCCCACCAAGGCGACGAUCAGUAGCUGGUCUGAGAGGAUGAUCAGCCUCACUGGGACUGAGACACGGCCCAGACUCCUACGGGAGGCAGCAGUGGGGAAUAUUGGACAAUGGGCGCAAGCCUGAUCCAGCCAUGCCGCGUGGGUGAUGAAGGCCCUAGGGUUGUAAAGCCCUUUCGGCGGGGAAGAUAAUGACGGUACCCGCAGAAGAAGCCCCGGCUAACUUCGUGCCAGCAGCCGCGGUAAUACGAAGGGGGCUAGCGUUGCUCGGAAUCACUGGGCGUAAAGCGCACGUAGGCGGAUUGCUAAGUCAGGGGUGAAAUCCUGGAGCUCAACUCCAGAACUGCCUUUGAUACUGGCGACCUUGAGUCCGGGAGAGGUGAGUGGAACUGCGAGUGUAGAGGUGAAAUUCGUAGAUAUUCGCAAGAACACCAGUGGCGAAGGCGGCUCACUGGCCCGGUACUGACGCUGAGGUGCGAAAGCGUGGGGAGCAAACAGGAUUAGAUACCCUAGUAGUCC